Molecule: transfer RNA, 78 nt
Filed under: Verrucomicrobiales bacterium
Lineage: Bacteria; Pseudomonadati; Verrucomicrobiota; Verrucomicrobiia; Verrucomicrobiales
Also listed under: 2 other names
Description: tRNA-Pro
Rfam family: tRNA
About the family: Transfer RNA (tRNA) molecules are approximately 80 nucleotides in length. Their secondary structure includes four short double-helical elements and three loops (D, anti-codon, and T loops). Further hydrogen bonds mediate the characteristic L-shaped molecular structure. tRNAs have two regions of fundamental functional importance: the anti-codon, which is responsible for specific mRNA codon recognition, and the 3' end, to which the tRNAs corresponding amino acid is attached (by aminoacyl-tRNA synthetases). tRNAs cope with the degeneracy of the genetic code in two manners: having more than one tRNA (with a specific anti-codon) for a particular amino acid; and 'wobble' base-pairing, i.e. permitting non-standard base-pairing at the 3rd anti-codon position.
Source: RNAcentral
CGGGGCGUAGCGUAGCCUGGGUAGCGCGCCUGGUUCGGGUCCAGGAGGUCGUGAGUUCAAAUCUCACCGCCCCGACCA